Molecule: ribosomal RNA, 204 nt
Filed under: uncultured bacterium
Lineage: Bacteria
Description: partial 16S ribosomal RNA
Rfam family: Bacterial small subunit ribosomal RNA
Source: RNAcentral
CAGUCUGCAACUCGACUGCACGAAGCUGGAAUCGCUAGUAAUCGCGGAUCAGCACGCCGCGGUGAAUACGUUCCCGGGCCUUGUACACACCGCCCGUCACACCAUGGAAGUCUGCAAUGCCCGAAGCCGGUGGCCUAACCACUUAUGCGGAAGGAGCCGUCUAAGGCGGGGCAGAUGACUGGGGUGAAGUCGUAACAAGGUAUC